RNAcentral lists this ribosomal RNA (77 nucleotides) under Acidimicrobiaceae bacterium. The record is from RNAcentral. Lineage: Bacteria; Bacillati; Actinomycetota; Acidimicrobiia; Acidimicrobiales; Acidimicrobiaceae.
UGAACACGGAAGUUAAGCCCGCCAGCGCCGAUGGUACUUGGGUCGAGAGGCCCUGGGAGAGUAGGACGCCGCCGGAU